ACAUGCCUACAACAGAUCGUUAAUGCACUAGAUCCCAUUAAAACUCUGCAAUUAAGCGCACUCAAGCUAGAGUAGUACUACGAUGGGUGAUCACUCAGGAAGUCCUAUUGUUUUACAUGCC
This is a non-coding RNA of Picea glauca (white spruce), 121 nucleotides long. NCBI's taxonomy places the organism in Eukaryota, Viridiplantae, Streptophyta, Pinopsida, Pinales, Pinaceae. The record is from Rfam.